ACACCUCGGGCCAAACGCGGCAUUUCAAACUUCAAGAACUUGCAGCCCAGGAGGCCUUAUCCAUAGCCUCAACCAGCUGCUCCCAGAACCAAGUUUUUUUCAAAAAGGAAAUUUUGAAAGAAAAAGCAAGCAACCUCAUGCCCAGCAUGGACCAUGCCCGAAGUUCCUGCUUCAUAAAAAUGACUCCCAGUUAUGCUUCAGGGAGAAAAAGUACCCCCUGAGUUUGAAAAACCCACCCUGAGGUUAGAAGUUUUCUGCCAGCCUACGACGCUCCUUUAGCAACGCCGGGGCGUACAAACCCUCUCCGGUCCCACCCAUACCCACCCCCCAUGCCUCCAAUAAGCCUUAAAAACGACCCAGCUAUAUAGCAAAGCCCACCGCUCCCCCGAGCUUCCCGAGGCUGCAAGUGGCCCGCACCUCCUUUUCAAGGGCCCCGG
Molecule: long non-coding RNA, 437 nt
Filed under: Fukomys damarensis (Damara mole-rat)
Lineage: Eukaryota; Metazoa; Chordata; Mammalia; Rodentia; Bathyergidae
Description: lncRNA (ENSFDAG00000025379.1)
Source: RNAcentral